Molecule: unclassified non-coding RNA, 200 nt
Filed under: Cryptodiscus sp.
Lineage: Eukaryota; Fungi; Ascomycota; Lecanoromycetes; Ostropales; Stictidaceae
Description: partial internal transcribed spacer 2
Source: RNAcentral
UUAAGUUCAGCGGGUAAUCCUGCCUGAUCCGAGGUCGAUUUCAAAGAUGUGGGCGUUGUCCGGCGGACGCACGACCGACUCCGGGGCGGUAACAAGUCACUGCGCCAGGGAGCACGGCUACGUCGCCGCUGAGUUUCGGGGGCGCCCAGGGGGCGGCCUCCAACACCAAGCUGAGCUUGAGGGUACAAAUGACGCUCGAA